GAAACGGUGGCUAAUACCGGAUAUGCCNAAAGGUGAAAGGUUAACUGCCUGGAGAUGAGCUCGCGUCUGAUUAGCUAGUUGGUAGGGUAAAAGCUUACCAAGGCGACGAUCAGUAGCUGGUCUGAGAGGACGAUCAGCCACACUGGGACUGAGACACGGCCCAGACUCCUACGGGAGGCAGCAGUGGGGAAUUUUCCGCAAUGGGCGAAAGCCUGACGGAGCAAUACCGCGUGAGGGAGGAAGGCUCUUGGGUUGUAAACCUCUUUUCUCAAGGAAGAAAAAUGACGGUACUUGAGGAAUAAGCAUCGGCUAACUCCGUGCCAGCAGCCGCGGUAAUACGGAGGAUGCAAGCGUUAUCCGGAAUGAUUGGGCGUAAAGCGUUCGCAGGUGGCAUUGAAAGUCUGCUGUCAAAGAGUCUGGCUCAACCAGAUACAGGCAGUGGAAACUUCAAAGCUAGAGUGCGGUAGGGGCAGAGGGAAUUCCUGGUGUAGCGGUGAAAUGCGUAGAGUUCAGGAAGAACACCGGUGGCGAAAGCGCUCUGCUAGGCCGCAACUGACACUGAGGGACGAAAGC
Molecule: ribosomal RNA, 573 nt
Filed under: Rhizonema sp. 'cyanobiont of Erioderma pedicellatum'
Lineage: Bacteria; Bacillati; Cyanobacteriota; Cyanophyceae; Nostocales; Rhizonemataceae
Description: SSU rRNA
Rfam family: Bacterial small subunit ribosomal RNA
Source: RNAcentral